UCUAACAGCAUAAGAGAGGUAGUGACAAGAAAUAACAAUACAAGGCAAUUAAAAUGCUUUGUAAUUGGAAUGAUAGAAAUUUAAACACUUUUUAAAGUAUCAAUUGGAGGGCAAGUCUGGUGCCAGCAGCCGCGGUAAUUCCAGCUCCAAUAGCGUAUAUUAAAAUUGUUGCAGUUAAAAAGCUCGUAGUUGAAUUUCUGCUAAAAAUAACCGGUCUGCUUUUUUUAUUAAAAGUGGUAUCUUGGUGUGUUUUUAGCAAUAAUGUCCUUUGAAAUGUUUUUUACUUUAUUGUAAUAAGUCAUUAUUUUGAGGAUUUUUACUUUGAGAAAAUUAGAGUGUUUCUAGCAGGCUUACGCUUUUGAAUACUGCAGCAUGGAAUAAUAAGAUAGGAUUUUAGUUCUACAUUAUUGGUUUUAAGAACUAAAUUAAUGAUUGAUAGGGAUAGUUGGGGGCAUUUGUAUUUAACUGUCAGAGGUGAAAUUCUUAGAUUUGUUAAAGACAAACUACUGCGAAAGCAUUUGCCAAAGAUGUUUUCAUUAAUCAAGAACGAAAGUUAGGGGAUCGAAGACGAUCAGAUACCGUCGUAGUCUUAACUAUAAACUAUGCCGACUAGAGAUUGGAGGUCAUCUUUAUAAACGACUCCUUC
This 646-nucleotide ribosomal RNA is filed under the name Hepatozoon sp. RNAcentral describes it as "SSU rRNA". It matches the Rfam family "Eukaryotic small subunit ribosomal RNA", at positions 450 to 1081 of the family's 1831-position model. The record is from RNAcentral. Lineage: Eukaryota; Apicomplexa; Hepatozoidae.